CUCCAGGCCUCUGGAUUAGCCUCCCUCUCCCGGGUCAGAGGAGCUGGUGGGGCCCACAGGAACUCCCUUGGACUCUGGAUGCCAGACCAAGAAGCAGCUGGGCCCCACCUGUGACUCUGCACCCCGAAGGGCGCCCCUUUGAACCACUUCGGGGUGGUGGUGGACAUGGUGUUGCGCGGGGGACAUGGAGUCCCGCUGAACCCGGCCUCCAGCCUGCCCCCACCCCCGCACUCAACACCGCCCUGACAUCGCGUGCUGCCAAGGCAACCCGCAACCCGGGCGUUGUGAUUCAGCAAGCACAGACCGGCUUCGUGCCGCGUGGGACCUCCCCAGCGUGCUGCCUGCCCCCUGACGUUUUCAUUCAUUUUUAUAUUCCCAGUGCGGCCUCCCCAGAGACCCUUCUCGGGAUCCCGCAGACCUGAGGAUCCCUCCUGGGGUUUAAAGAGAGUGUUCCUGUCACUUGUGAUCCUCUUGGCUGCAGGAUGACUGAAGGAGGAGGAGAAGAUACAAACCAAGGUCCAUGGGUCAGAGUCCCGGCUGCAAGACAGGGAGCAGGCCAGCGAGAGUCAGCUCUGUACCGAGGCCUCUGCCCUGGACAGUCCAACCCCUCCCCGUGAUGGAAACUUCUUUGUCUGGCCAACUCAUUCAUUCUCUUUCACGGGUGCUACCACAACCUCUCCAUCCCCACUCUCAUUAUGCAGGAAAGGAAGCUAAGACACAGACAGAAUAAAUUGUCCUGGUCACAUCUAA
Molecule: non-coding RNA, 750 nt
Organism: Peromyscus maniculatus bairdii (prairie deer mouse)
Lineage: Eukaryota; Metazoa; Chordata; Mammalia; Rodentia; Cricetidae
Source: RefSeq, a predicted model, not a curated record